Molecule: unclassified non-coding RNA, 19 nt
Filed under: Mus musculus (house mouse)
Lineage: Eukaryota; Metazoa; Chordata; Mammalia; Rodentia; Muridae
Description: oocyte_clustered_small_RNA13381
Source: RNAcentral
UCUCGGAGCAGUUCACAGC